This 429-nucleotide ribosomal RNA is filed under the name Haemophilus influenzae. Its description in RNAcentral is "bacterial LSU rRNA". It matches the Rfam family "Bacterial large subunit ribosomal RNA", at positions 1085 to 1398 of the family's 2925-position model. The record is from RNAcentral. Lineage: Bacteria; Pseudomonadati; Pseudomonadota; Gammaproteobacteria; Pasteurellales; Pasteurellaceae.
UUAGACAGCUAGGAUGUUGGCUUAGAAGCAGCCAUCAUUUAAAGAAAGCGUAAUAGCUCACUAGUCGAGUCGGCCUGCGCGGAAGAUGUAACGGGGCUGAAAUAUAGCACCGAAGCUGCGGCAUCAGGCGUAUCACUAAUACGCCUUACGAUUAACAAGCUAGAAUGGCGCGAAGCGGCAUGAAAGGUUGUUCAAGCAACCCGAACGUUGAGUCGGGGUAUUUUUGAAGUAAGGAUUAUUAGUGAUACGCCUGUUGGGUAGGGGAGCGUUGUGUAAGCGGAUGAAGGUUAAUCGAGAGGUUAGCUGGACGUAUCACAAGUGCGAAUGCUGACAUAAGUAACGAUAAAACGGGUGAAAAACCCGUUCGCCGGAAGACCAAGGGUUCCUGUCCAACGUUAAUCGGGGCAGGGUGAGUCGGCUCCUAAGGCG